Molecule: ribosomal RNA, 305 nt
Filed under: uncultured bacterium
Lineage: Bacteria
Description: bacterial SSU rRNA
Rfam family: Bacterial small subunit ribosomal RNA
Source: RNAcentral
GUUCCUACGGGAGGCAGCAGUGGGGAAUAUUGGACAAUGGGGGAAACCCUGAUCCAGCGACGCCGCGUGGGCGAUGGAGUACUUCGGUAUGUAAAGACCUAUCAGCAGGGAAGAAAAUGACGGUACCUGACUAAGAAGCCCCGGCUAAAUACGUGCAAGCAGCCGCGGUAAUACGUAUGGGGCAAGCGUUAUCCGGAUUUACUGGGUGUAAAGGGGGCGUAGACGGCAGCGCAAGUCUGGAGUGAAAUGCCGGGGCUCAACCCCGGAACUGCUUUGGAAACUGUGCAGCUAGAGUGCGGGAGAGG